RNAcentral lists this long non-coding RNA (332 nucleotides) under Rattus norvegicus (Norway rat). RNAcentral describes it as "long non-coding RNA NONRATT002276". Lineage: Eukaryota; Metazoa; Chordata; Mammalia; Rodentia; Muridae. The record is from RNAcentral.
CUGGAGCCUGUUCAGAGGGAUUUGUACAGAGAUGUGAUGUUGGAGAACUCCAGCCACCUGGUCUCACUGGGUCUUGCCAUGUCCAAACCUGAUGUGAUAUCCAUCCUAGAGCAAGGUAAUGAGCCCUGGGUACAGGAAAGGGCCACAGCAGUAGUGCUGGGUUCAGAUUGCUUGGCUAGAGUGUGGGAAAGAAGAUCUUCCCCCAUGGAGUCACACAACAGAGCCACUGCCUUUCCAGCUGUCACCAUGGGAUACUUGUGUGUGACCCACAUACACCAUGCCGGGAACCCUGACAAGAAUGCUGAGCAGUGACUAGGAAGGGGGCAAGCAGA